RNAcentral lists this ribosomal RNA (484 nucleotides) under Neisseria animaloris. Its description in RNAcentral is "bacterial SSU rRNA". It matches the Rfam family "Bacterial small subunit ribosomal RNA", at positions 9 to 482 of the family's 1533-position model. The record is from RNAcentral. Lineage: Bacteria; Pseudomonadati; Pseudomonadota; Betaproteobacteria; Neisseriales; Neisseriaceae.
GAGUUUGAUCCUGGCUCAGAUUGAACGCUGGCGGCAUGCUUUACACAUGCAAGUCGAACGGCAGCACGGAAGAGCUUGCUCUUUUGGUGGCGAGUGGCGAACGGGUGAGUAACGCAUCGGAACGUACCGAGUAGUGGGGGAUAACUGUCCGAAAGGAUGGCUAAUACCGCAUAUUCUCUGAGGAGGAAAGCAGGGGACCUUCGGGCCUUGCGCUAUUUGAGCGGCCGAUGUCUGAUUAGCUAGUUGGUGGGGUAAAGGCCUACCAAGGCGACGAUCAGUAGCGGGUCUGAGAGGAUGAUCCGCCACACUGGGACUGAGACACGGCCCAGACUCCUACGGGAGGCAGCAGUGGGGAAUUUUGGACAAUGGGGGGAACCCUGAUCCAGCCAUGCCGCGUGUCUGAAGAAGGCCUUCGGGUUGUAAAGGACUUUUGUCAGGGAAGAAAAGCUUGAGAUUAAUACCCUUGAGUGAUGANCGUACCUAA